RNAcentral lists this ribosomal RNA (302 nucleotides) under uncultured Alphaproteobacteria bacterium. RNAcentral describes it as "bacterial SSU rRNA". It matches the Rfam family "Bacterial small subunit ribosomal RNA", at positions 348 to 666 of the family's 1533-position model. Lineage: Bacteria; Pseudomonadati; Pseudomonadota; Alphaproteobacteria. The record is from RNAcentral.
GCAGCAGUAGGGAAUCUUAGACAAUGGGGGCAACCCUGAUCUAGCCAUGCCGCGUGUGUGAUGAAGGCCCUAGGGUCGUAAAGCACUUUCGCCAGAGAUGAUAAUGAGCAGUAUCUGGUAAAGAAACCCCGGCUAACUCCGUGCCAGCAGCCGCGGUAAUACGGAGGGGGUUAGCGUUGUUCGGAAUUACUGGGCGUAAAGCGCACGUAGGCGGAUUAGUAAGUUAGAGGUGAAAUCCCAGGGCUCAACCCUGGAACUGCCUUUAAUACUGCUAGUCUUGAGUUCGAGAGAGGUAAGUGGAA